Molecule: ribosomal RNA, 399 nt
Filed under: uncultured bacterium
Lineage: Bacteria
Description: partial 16S ribosomal RNA
Rfam family: Bacterial small subunit ribosomal RNA
Source: RNAcentral
AAUAUUGCACAAUGGGGGAAACCCUGAUGCAGCAACGCCGCGUGAAGGAUGAAGGUUUUCGGAUUGUAAACUUCUUUGAUUGGGGACGAUAAUGACGGUACCCAAAAAACAAGCCACGGCUAACUACGUGCCAGCAGCCGCGGUAAUACGUAGGUGGCGAGCGUUGUCCGGAAUUACUGGGUGUAAAGGGCGUGUAGGCGGGGAUGUAAGUCAGAUGUGAAAUUCCAUGGCUCAACUGUGGCGCUGCAUCUGAAACUAUGUCUCUUGAGUGCUGGAGAGGAAAGCGGAAUUCCUAGUGUAGCGGUGAAAUGCGUAGAUAUUAGGAGGAACACCAGUGGCGAAGGCGGCUUUCUGGACAGUAACUGACGCUGAGGCGCGAAAGCGUGGGGAGCAAACAGG